RNAcentral lists this ribosomal RNA (472 nucleotides) under uncultured bacterium. RNAcentral's name for it is "partial 16S ribosomal RNA". It matches the Rfam family "Bacterial small subunit ribosomal RNA", at positions 28 to 507 of the family's 1533-position model. The record is from RNAcentral.
GACGAACGCUGGCGGCGUGCUUAACACAUGCAAGUCGAACGCUGAAGCUUGGUGCUUGCACUGGGUGGAUGAGUGGCGAACGGGUGAGUAAUACGUGAGUAACCUGCCCUUGACUCUGGGAUAAGCCUGGGAAACUGGGUCUAAUACUGGAUACGACAUGCCACUGCAUGGUGGUGUGUGGAAAGGGUUUUACUGGUUUUGGAUGGGCUCACGGCCUAUCAGCUUGUUGGUGGGGUAAUGGCCUACCAAGGCGACGACGGGUAGCCGGCCUGAGAGGGUGACCGGCCACACUGGGACUGAGACACGGCCCAGACUCCUACGGGAGGCAGCAGUGGGGAAUAUUGUACAAUGGGCGGAAGCCUGAUGCAGCGACGCCGCGUGAGGGAUGACGGCCUUCGGGUUGUAAACCUCUUUCAGCACGGAAGAAGCGAGAGUGACGGUACGUGCAGAAGAAGCGCCGGCUAACUACGUG